CUAAUUUCUAGUCACUCUUUCUCUCUCUAAACUCAGUGACAUUCUCCUCCUUCUUGCUCUGCCUUCUCUCUACCCUUACACUCAUUUGAACCGUGAAAUUUCAAAUAGGUAGUGUGCUUUCGUUCACGGAGUUGAGAGCUUCCCAUUCAUCCGAUUGAAAUUCUGCUUUGGAUGAAUCCUGUUGAACUUGCUUCUGUGCAAGAAUACUGUUUUGGGGUUUCUUCUAAAGAGUGUUGUGCUUGUAACCACUAAGGUAUGUUUCCUAUUGCAAUGAUCAUCCUAAAUUGGAUGUGAGCAGAUGAAGAGGAGAUGUCUGUGGAGCAAGCGCUGGAAGAAGGUGAUGCUGCA
Molecule: small RNA, 348 nt
Filed under: Vigna angularis var. angularis
Lineage: Eukaryota; Viridiplantae; Streptophyta; Magnoliopsida; Fabales; Fabaceae
Description: Non-protein coding transcript
Source: RNAcentral